Molecule: ribosomal RNA, 497 nt
Filed under: uncultured bacterium
Lineage: Bacteria
Description: partial 16S ribosomal RNA
Rfam family: Bacterial small subunit ribosomal RNA
Source: RNAcentral
GACGAACGCUGGCGGCGUGCCUAAUACAUGCAAGUAGAACGCUGAAGCGAGGAUCUUGCUCUUCUUGGAUGAGUUGCGAACGGGUGAGUAACGCGUAGGUAACCUGCCUUGUAGUGGGGGAUAACUAUUGGAAACGAUAGCUAAUACCGCAUAACAAUGGUUGACACAUGUCAUUUAUUUGAAAGGUGCAAUUGCUCCACUACAAGUUGGACCUGCGUUGUAUUAGCUAGUAGGUGAGGUAAUGGCUCACCUAGGCGACGAUACAUAGCCGACCUGAUAGGGUGACCGGCCACCCUGGGGCUGAGACACGGCCCAGACUCCUACGGGAGGCAGCAGUAGGGCAUCUUCGGCAAUGGGGGCAAACCUGACCGAGCAACGCCGCGUGAGUGAAGAAGGUUUUCGGAUCGUAAAGCUCUGUUGUAAGUCAAGAACGGGUGUGAGAGUGGAAAGUUCACCCUGUGACGGUAGCUUACCAGAAAGGGACGGCUAACUACGUG